RNAcentral lists this ribosomal RNA (440 nucleotides) under uncultured bacterium. RNAcentral describes it as "partial 16S ribosomal RNA". It matches the Rfam family "Bacterial small subunit ribosomal RNA", at positions 338 to 795 of the family's 1533-position model. The record is from RNAcentral.
CCUACGGGAGGCAGCAGUGGGGAAUAUUGCACAAUGGGGGAAACCCUGAUGCAGCGACGCCGCGUGAGUGAAGAAGUAUUUCGGUAUGUAAAGCUCUAUCAGCAGGGAAGAAAAUGACGGUACCUGAUGAAGAAGCCCCGGCUAACUACGUGCCAGCAGCCGCGGUAAUACGUAGGGGGCAAGCGUUAUCCGGAUUUACUGGGGGUAAAGGGAGCGUAGACGGGGAUGCAAGUCAGAAGUGAAAGCCCGGGGCUCAACUCCGGGACUGCUUUUGAAACUGUGUGACUUGAGUGCAGGAGAGGUAAGCGGAAUUCCUGGUGUAGCGGUGAAAUGCGUAGAUAUCAGGAGGAACACCAGUGGCGAAGGCGGCUUACUGGACUGUAACUGACGUUGAGGCUCGAAAGCGUGGGGAGCAAACAGGAUUAGAUACCCCAGUAGUC